This 38610-nucleotide long non-coding RNA is filed under the name Amborella trichopoda. RNAcentral describes it as "long non-coding RNA (ATRI_LNC005095)". Lineage: Eukaryota; Viridiplantae; Streptophyta; Magnoliopsida; Amborellales; Amborellaceae. The record is from RNAcentral.
AAAAAAACAAAAAAACCUUUUAAAUCCUCUCUCAUCAAACACCUCUUCGCUCCAAUGGAUGCUACAUCAUCAUUAAACAAAUAUUCCUAUCCCUCAACCCUUAAUAUAGGAAACUUUGUUUCUAUUAAGUUAACAUAGAACAACUAUUUAUUAUGAAAAACUUAAAUGCUCUAUCUCAUUGAGAGUUAGGAACUUUUUGGAUUCAUUAAUAAUGAUUGCCCUACACCAAGUCAAAAGAUUCCUCUCCCCAUGGUAAAAGUGAAAAAUGUUUUAUCCUUGUUGUUGGUCUUAAGACUUUUGCAAAAUUUUGAAAAUGCAUGAAGAAUGCCUUUGUAGGUAAUUCUCAAACUAGGGAGUUUCAACUUACCUAGCCACUCCAACUCUGUAAAAAUAACAUUCGACCCUAUCGUAAUACAUAUGCAAAUUCAAUAGUAUUUGUGAUAAUUUAACUGUUAUUGGCAAACUUGUACUAGAUGAAAAUAAGGUAUUUCGGCUUCUUAAUGGACUUGGUCCAAACUAUAAGAGUUCUGCUACCAAUAUGCUAGGGCCCCGAUUCAUUCCUUAUGAAAUUAUACCACUUCUUCAAAACCACGAGAUUAGAAAUAAGUUUCAUGUCUCUGAAGAAUGCUUAUAUCCAAAUCAUAAUAUGACUUUUGCUGGACAACAGAGAAAUUUUGGACCUAACAGAGGUACUAGAAAUUAUAGAGGUAGAGGCAUAUAUAACUUUGGUUGUCAACACUAUUUCAAUUCUCUUGGGCACGGAUUUGCUCAAACAUGCAAGAACAAUAAUGGAGGACGUGGUAUGCCUUAGAGAAACCAAGAAAGUGGUGGUACACCUAUACAACAUUUGGAUCAAAGGUUCCAUUAAGAUUCACAAAUGCAGCGAUCAGCUCAGACACCCAAACAAAAUGUCAAAUUUGUAAAAAAAUUUGGACAUACUACAUUAAAGUGUUGGCAACGAUUCAAUCAUAUGUAUACAAAAAAGAUAUUUCUCAAGCUCUCGCUGAAGUAACUACAUCAAAUUCCCUAGACUCAGAAUAGUUCCCAAACACUGGUACCUCAACUCAUAUGACAGGAGACCCAGGUAAUAAAAUCUUUACUCUUAUAGUGGUAAAGAUAUAUUUAUAGUUGGUAAUAGUGAGCAAUUGACUAUUUCAUAUGUUGGUAAUACAAAUAUUAAUGUUGGGUCUAAAAAAUUUAAUGUUUCUAAUGUUCUUUUGGUAUUGAAGAUGAAAAAUAGUUUACUAUCGGUUAGCCAGUUUACAAAAGAUUUUCUUUGUAUUUUUUAGUUAUCAUCAAAUGGUUUUUGGAUUUAAGGAAAUGAGCACCAGGAGAACUCUGCCUAGUGGGAGUAGAAAAGGCAGACUUUAUGUAAUUGAGGAUGUAAAUAAAGCUUUAUUCUCUAAUCGAAAUAAGAGAACAUCAGAAGAUAUGUGGCAUCAACGACUCGCACAUCUUCAAAAUAAAACAAUUUGUUACUUAGAAUCUAAACAGUUGAUUGAUGUUAAUAUAUAGAAUACAUCUCAUUCUAUUUAUGCUAGUUGUCAGAUGGGAAAAAGUUGUAAACUCCCAUUUAUUAGUAUUGAUGAGACCUCUACAAAAUCUAUUUUUAAGAUUUAUUCAGAUUUAUAGGGGCCUUCUCCAGUUUUAUCUAAUCAGAGUUAUCACUUUUAUGUAGUGUUUGUGGAUGAUUACACUCGUUUUUCUUUGAUUUAUCUUUUGAAAAGAAAAUCUGAAUUUUUUUUUGCAUUUAUGAAAUUUCAUCGUAUGGAUGAAAGGAGAUUUGAUAAAUGAAUUCGAAUUUUUCAAUGUGAUGGAGGUGGUGAAUUUUCUAAGAAAGAAUUCAUUGCUCAUCUUACUGAGAAUGAAAUUGUGUAAUGAAUAUCAUGUUCAGGAACCCCUGAACAAAAUGGAAUUUUUAAAAGGAAACAUGAAAAUAUUGUAAAAUUAGGUAUUACAAUGAUGUUUCAUGCAGGAAUUGAAGCUUUCCAUGCUACGGUCUUUGUAAUAAACUUGAUUCCCUCGGCCAAUAUGCAAAUAGAUUCACCAUAUUCUUUGUUGUUUUGGCUACCUACCAGACUAUUCUUCACACUGGAUUUUGGUUAUUGGUGUUUUCCGUACCUUCGAGACUAUGCUGCAGAUAAAUUCUAUUCUCAUUAUUUUCUGUGUAUUUUUAGGUUAUAGUAUUCAACAUAAAGGUUACAAAUGUCUGCAUCCACCUAUAGGACGAGUCUAUAUCUCUAGACAUGUUAUAUUUAAUGAAAAUAUCUUUCCUUAUACUAACCUCAAUUCUUUGUUUGAUAGUGCUCAGGUUCAAGGGGGAGCUGUCCACCUAUGCAUAAUGGUCAGAGUGUUCACUCCUUCCUCUUGUGAUUCAUCACCUUCACAUAAACCACCUAUAUGGGACACUCUUUAUGUAUCUAGUCCCUCAGGUCUUGCUUUGAUCAUCACCAAUGAUAGCUCUCCAACUUCUCUCAUAGAAGAAGAUGUCACCACGAAACACCAAUCCAAGAUAUCCAAGAUGAUGCAACACACAAUCAUGGUGAUGAAAAUGUUAUCACUCAAGAAACCGACCAAUCUAAUUUUUUACCUGCCUCUGAGUAUUCUUGUCAUCACAUGGUCAUAAGAUCUCAAGAUGGCACUUAAAGAUCUUGGAUUUUCCCAUCCGUUGUAGUAAUGUCAAGUGCUCUUACUUUUAAAGCUCUCUUUUGAACCUAAAACCAUUAAGUCAGCAUUGGGUCAUCCACAUUGACAUCGUGCAAUGGAAGAGGAAAGUGAAGCCAUAUAUGUUAACUCAACUUGGGUGCUAGUUCCACAUCUUUUAUGUAUGAAUAUUGUUGGUUAUCGUUGGGUUUAUAAGACUAAAUUAAUGUCUAACCGUAGUUUAGAGAAAAUUAAAGCUAGACUAGUUGCUAAAUGAUACAAUUAGGUUGCUAAAAUUGAUUUCUUUGAAACAUUCUGGCCUAUUAUUAAGCCUGAUAGUAAUCGAAUUGUGCUCACCAUAGCUAUUGUGCGUUACUGGCUUAUUAAACAACUGGAUGUGAAAAAUGCUUUCCUAUAUAAAAGGAACCUGUAUUUAUGGAACACCCUCAAGGAUUUAUGAGCUCAAAAUAUCUAAAUUAUGUCUACAAAUUAAAAAUAGCUUUAUAUGGUCUCAAACAAGCACCACGGGCUUGGUUUUAACAAUUUAGUACCUAUUAAUUAUCAUUGGGGUUUUAUUGCAACAUAGUUGAUUUAUCUCUAUUUGUUUCUCGCGCUACUCAAGACACUAUUAUCCUUCUCCUUUAUGUUGAUGAUACUAUUGUUACUGGUGAUAAUUCAGAUAUUUUAGAAUGGUUCAUUUUCUAACUUGGAAGGGAAUUUGUAAUUAAAGAUCUUGGACAUCUCCACUACUUUCUUGGCAUGAAGGUAUCUUAUUUUUCAGAUGGAAUUUUUUUAUCGUAAAGCAAAUACGCUCGGGAUCUUCUUGAUCAUGCUUAAAUGCUCGGUGCCAUACCUAUUUCAAUACUAAUGACAAUGAAAAAUAAUAUUCAUGAGACUUAUAAUCCAUUUCCUGAUCCAUCCCUUUAUCAGAGCAUUGUUAGUGCACUCCAAUAUAUUACUAUAACACGACCUGACCUUUCCCAUAUUGUUAAUACAACGUGUCAAUUUAUACAUGUCCCUACAAUUGCACAUUUUCAGGCAGUGAAGCGGAUUCUUCGUUAUCUCAGUGGUACAUAGUUCUGUGGUAUAAGAAUCUUAUGUGAUAGUUCCCUUGAGUUAUAUACUUGCUUUGAUGCAGAUUGGGUCGGGUGUCCAAACACUCGUCAUUCAACCAAUAGUUUCUACACUUAUCUUGGUUCCAACUGCAUAUUUUGGAGUGCUAAGAAACAAUCAAAUGUGGCUUGUUCAAGCAUUGAAGUAGAAUAGCGAUCUAUGACAUCCACUGCUACAGAGACUUGACUUUCUUUUAUUCUUCGAGAUAUUGAAGCGCCUCUUCCUCAACCACCAAGUGUUUAAAAAAAUGGAUCGGCGACACGAAUCAGUCACACCCAUACCUAUGUCGGAACGGUGGAUUAGUGAAUCAGAUUGGAGAAUUGGCCAAAUUGGCAAGUUUUGUCCCAAUUGUUUUUCAAAAAAUCACUAUAAAUCUCUAAAAAUAGUGUUCUUUUAGUUUUUAAAAAAAAUUAUGAGUGGCAAGAGGAUGCCUAAUGUGCAAUCUCAUUCCCUUUCUUUAUAAAAGUCUGCUAAUUUUGAAGGCAUUCUUAAAUAAAAGUAGGUCGUUUGGUUGUUUAUUGAUGUCCUGCGCAGCUAUAAUCAUUCGUGGAAAAUUUCAGAUAAUGAUAUUUAUUCAUUUCAGAUAACUUCAAUAAUGAUAAUAAUGAAUGAACACUAAUGCCAACAAGACCACAGCUUAAAUAUAAAUGGAAAAACACCAUGGCAAGGUUAUUGAUGACAAAAUCAGCCUAAAUGGUUAUUUAAAUCUAUUUCUUUCUCUUAAAGGAACAUAUAUUAUUAUCACAUGAAAGUAAAAAGUUAUUAAUGCGAUUAAUUUUUACCAAGUUACUCAACAGAGUGAAAACAAACCAUCAAUUCUAUGAAAUUUCUAGUCUAAGAAUGAAAAAUAAAAAAAAGACAACCCAAAUUCAAAUAAUUGUAAAAUGCAAACAAGCCCCAGAAUCCUGGUACAAUAAGGAGCGCGAAAUGCAAAAUGAAAAAAAAAAACUAUUACUUAUAUUUGUUUGUAGAAAUUGAGUUAAUCUUAAAUUAGCAAAGUGCACGUGCUCCACAUUGAAACUUAAUUUACAUUAGCUAACUCUAUAACUGUAGGUUUUUCUCCCUCAACAUCCUAAACAUGGCAUUUAAUUGAAUCCUUUAGCUUUAACCAUGCAUCUUCUCUCUCUAUAACUACAUCUAUUUUUUCCAAUUGCAAUAUCAUUCUUUCGUUUUUCUCUAUAAACAUGUCUUUUCUAUCGCGAACCAUGCUCUAUGUUCUUCUUCAAAGUAAAUUAAUAUAAUUUAAACAUCCAUUUCUAUGCAUAAAAUAAUUCCAGGUCAUUUAAAGUAACUGGUGACCAUCGUAUAUCCAUGAGUUGUCACCCAAUAGUAUAUAAAUAACCUAAUUGCUACUAAUUUUAUAAUAAUAUGGUUUUAUAUUAAUUUUAAGCAAACUACUGCUUAGAUUAGUGUAAGAUUUUAUGGGGGCACUAUAUUGUGCUAUUCGCUAAAUUUGCAUCAAAUUUAUUUUAAAAAAUUAUUAAUCCUAAGUAAACUACUGCUGAGAGUAUUUGCAAUAUAUCUUUUUUGCGGUGGCACUAUGUUAUGCUGCCCACUUAACUGGUGUGAGAAUUAAUUCAAAGAAGCUAUCAUGAUUGUAGAAUUUAUUUAAACUUGAUAUAUUAAUUCAUUGUAAAGUUUAAAGGGGCAUAUGCGUUGGAUUAUUGAGAAAUUGAAAAAUGAAAGUUCUUUAUUUUGAUUUUGCUACAAUAUAUUGUAUGUUUGUUUUUAAUUUAUCUUAGAGCAGUAGACGUUAAAAUAUUGAUUUGUCCUCCACUGCCAAAUCUCAUUUCUAUCUCUAGAUCUCUCUCGCCGACUUUCCUUUUUUCACACUAUUCCACAGCCUCCUACCGCCUCUCCACCAAAACACGUAUUAGAAGACUAAUCAAUAGUGGUUAGAACCUUGUAGACCAUCAAGAGAAGAUUCUCGAGAAAUGUAUAGUGGUUUAUAGGCGAUUAAAAGCCUAUAUAAAGGCCAAUGGUUUAAAAAAUGGAUCGGUGUCCCAGAUCGGGUACCCCAAAAACCCAUCCGAAUCGAUGAAUCGAUGUUUCGGAUAAGCGAAAUCAUCAAUUUUUGUCCCAAAAAAUCUUUAAAAAAUCACUAUAAAUCUCUAAAAAUAUUGUUAUUUUAAUUUCUAAAAGAAUUUAGGAGUGGUGCAUUAUGUAUUUUCAUUACUUUUUAAAAAUAGGUGAAUACUGAGACGAUGUUUUUCUAUCUGGAUAUCUGUAUAAUUAAAAUAAAUAAAUUAACAAAAAAAUAUAAGACUUGGUUAUCAUUGUAAUUAGUAUAAUUAUUAAUUACAAUAUUAUAAUAAACGUGAUUAAAAAAUAAGCUUACAAAUAAAUAAUCUAAUAUAUCAUAAUUAGUGUAGAUAGAAAUAUAGAAUUUAGAAAUCUAUAUUUACAAUCAUAUUUUAAUAAAAUUAAAAAAAGAAAAAAUAAAUUCAUACUUGCAAUGUAAGGUAAUUGAUAAAGCAACUUAAAAAUAAAUUCUUCAGUAGUAUAAGUUAGUGUUAUUUUUCUCUUCUAAAAUAUCCCGUAAACUAAUAUUUUAAUAUUCAUAUUUUUUGCUUUUCUUAAUAUAUUAUGAGCUAGUACUAUUUUUUUUAAUCUUAAUUAGCUAAUAGCCUAAUAAUAAUCAAAUUAUGAAAUAAUCCCAUGAGAUAAUAGUGUAAUAGUUUCAGUCUCGUUAUUUUGGUUUAUGGGUAAGUAAAUUUUAAUUUUUUUUGGUGAAAGAUGGGGGUAGUUGGCCCUGUCUUCUAAUUAUUAUUUUUAAUAAUUUUCUUUCUUUUUUUAUCAUGUAAUUUAAUGUUGAGCGCACACCAUUUGUAUUGAUGGUCCACCCAUCCCCUAAUAGUAUUAAAUUAUUAAUCUAUACAUUAAUACAACAACGUUGGGUUGGGCAACAAGAAUUGUCCCACAUCGAAGAGAUGUGGAACGAAAAAGGCAUAUAAAAGGAGCUGAAACUUGAAACAAUUGAAAAGGCAAUUAGCUAUUUGGGAGUAGGGCCACCUACAAGGUCUAACCUAGCCCCACAUGAUGGUUUCUCCCACGUAAGGAAAUAAGGGGUACUUUCAUGAAAUUUCUUAAUAAGAAAAAUGAUACGGAUGUGUCCUACUCAUCAUGUUAAUUUAAAGGGUGAGCUGAGCACCCAACGGUUUGUGAGAUUACGUGGUGUCAUCAUGGUGAUGUAAAUGAUUAUCUGCUGACUUUGUGACAUUACGUGAUGUAAAUGAUGAUUUGCUGACGACGACUGACGUCAGCAUGGCAAUUUAAAAGUUAACCGGCUAAACCGAUUAAGAAUCAGUCGAAUCCCCUUUAAAUCUGCAUUUUUUCCUUUAAAGGAUGAUCUGCUGAUGACUACUGAUGUCAGCAUGGCGAUAUUUAAAAGUUAACCGGCUGAACCGACUAAUAAUCAGUCGAAUCCCAUUUUUUCUUUAGAUCCGGGGCGGCCUGAGUUAUCCCGAUCUGGAUCGCUCGAUUCCGGAUUAGAUCGAUGAUUUUUCAAACACUGAUAAAGACAAUGAUAUGCCUGGGUAUUAUGAAUGAGAGAGAAAUAAUGAAUGCAGAACCUCAAAAAUGAGUGUAUGCAGAACCUCAAAAAUGAGUGUAUGGUCCUAAAGACCAUAUCAUUUGAUUGUAUUUUUGUUUUAUUUAUUAUUUUGAAUGCAAUAGUAGAAAUUUUGUUUAUUCAGUACGACUUCCUAUUUGUUCUUUUGUGUCGAAGUAUUUUUAUUCUAUAUUUUGGAACUUUUGCUUCAACAAAUUUCUAUCAAACUGGUAUCAGAGCCAAAGUUCGUAAAGCAUGGCACCCUCAAGUAUGAUGUUGCAACUUCAAGUUCCUCAUCUUACAAAAGAAAAUUAUGAAAAUCGGUGCAUUCUGAUGAAAGCAUUGUUCAGAUCACAUGAUGCAUGGGAGGUUGUUGAAAACGGGUACCAUGAACCCCAAACCCUAGAAGAGGAACCUAAAAUGACAAACAAUCAAAAGACUGCUCUAAAAGAAUCGAGGAGACAGAACUAAUUUUUUAUUCCUUCUCAAGGGUAUUGGCCGUAACAAACCAACUCAAGAGAAAUGGUGAGGUGCUAGACGAUGUAUGUCUCAUGGAAAAAAUAUUAAGAUCUAUUACCCAUAAAUUUGAGCACAUAGUUGUAGCAAUAGAAGAAAGUAAAGAUUUGUCGACUAUGACUACCGAUUAACUCGUGGGUUCCUUGUCAGCCCAUAAACAAAGAAUGAUGAAGAAAACAAACACUCCUUUGGAGCAAGUGCUCAAAACUAAUCUCUCCUUAAAGAUGAAAGAGAAGGAUUUAAAGGUAGAGGUCAAAGAGGAUGUGGGACAUUUAAUAGAGGUGGACGAGGUUACGACAAUUCCAAUACCAGUGCCAGAAGAGGACGCAACCAAAUGUUGCAACCCCCAAGAGGUCGAGGUGGUAGAAACUUUACUCGACCAUUCAAUCGUCAAAGGUAUGAUAGACCUUCGAUUCCAUGCUUUAAUUGCAAAAAGUUUGUCCAUUAUAGUUCUGAGUGCAAAUUUAAGAACUCCCAUGAAAAUGGAGAACAAGUAAAUUUUGUAGAAAAAUCCAAAGAAAAUCAAGAACCAACCCUCUUGUUGGCGUGCAAAGAAGAAGAAAGUGAAAACAAUAACUUGUGGUUUCUUGACAGUAGGGCACACAACCACAUAUGUCGAAGAAAAGAUGUAUUCAUGGAGUUGGAUGAAUCAGUGAAUGGUAACAUAACAUUUGGUGAUUUCUCAAAAGUUCUGAUCAAAAGGAAAGGUAAAAUUUUAAUUCGACUCAAGAAUGGAAAACAUGAGUUUAUUUCCAAUGUCUAUGAUGUGCCAAGCAUGAAAAAUAAUAUUCUUAGUUUGGGGCCGCUUUUGGAAAAAGGUUAUGAUAUUCGUCUGAAGGAUUUAGCCCUCACCAUAAAAGAUAGAAAGAAAAACUUGAUUGCUAGAGUUGGCACGCCAAAAAACAUGACAUUUUCUUUGGAUAUCAAAACUGAUCUUUUGCACUAUCUAAAUGUAUCUUUAAAGGAAAAGCCAUGGUUAUGGCACUUGAGGCUUGGACACCUCAAUUUUAAUGGAUUGAAAUUAUUGCAUAACCAAAACAUGGCAAAAGGGCUGCCACCAAUCAAUCAUCCGGAACAACUUCGUGAAGGAUAUAUGCUUGGGAAGCAUCACUGUGAAAGCUUCCCAAGUGGUGUUUUACAUAGAAGCAUCAAAACCCCUUGAACUCAUCCAUACAGAUGUAUAUGGGCCACUUAGCCCAAUUUCUUAUGGGCAACAUAUGUAUUUUCUUACCUUCAUUGAUGAUUUUAGUCAGAAGACCUGAGUUUCUUUCCUGAAAGAAAAAUCAGAAGUUUUGGGAUUUUCAAAAAUUUCAAGGCAUUUAUGGAAAAACAAAGUGGUUAUUUUAUUAAAGUUUUGAGAUCAAAUAGGGGUGGUGAGUUCUUUUCAAAGGCAUUUCAUGAGUUUUGCAAAUAUCAUGAUAUUCUUCAUCAAUUUACAGUACCAUAUACACCCCAACAAAAUGGAAUGACUCAAAGGAAAAGCCAGACAAUUUUGGAAAUGGCACGAAGCAUGUUGAAAUGCAAAAAUAUGCCAAAAGAACUUUGGGCUGAGGCAGUAUCUUUUGCUGUCUAUAUUUUGAAUAGGUGUCCCACCAAAAGUGAGUGAUUUAGGACACCCCAAGAGGCUUGGAAUGGACAUAAGCCUAAUGUGGUACAUUUAAGAGUAAUGGGUGCAUUGCAUACUCUCAUGUCCCAAAUCAAAUUAGAGCUAAAUUAGAGGACAAAAGUCAAAAGUGUCCUUCUAUUGGCUAUGAUGAAAAAUCAAAAGCUUACAAGCUUUAUGAUCCUGAAAAUAAGAAGUUGAUAAUUAGUAGAGAUGUGGAAUUUAAUGAAGAAGCCUCACGGGAAUGAAACAAAAAAGAAGAGAAAAGUCACGUAAGAAUUGAAUUGAAUGGAAAUAACAAUGUUCAAGAGCGAUCCCAAGAAGAAAAUGCCACACCCUCAUCUCCUCAACAAGAGUCAAGCUCAUCUAUUCUUUCUAUGGAUGAAAGUUCAAAUGAAAGGCUACCAAGGAUAUGGAGUUUGAAUAAAAUUUAUGCUAAAACAUAAAAUACUAACAAUGAGCACAAUUUAUUUUAUUUCUUUGUUGAGUGUGAAUCUGUAAGUUUCGACUUUGCAGUUCGUGAAAAAAGGUGGAGAAUAGCAAUGGAUGAGGAGAUUCAAGCUAAUGAGAAGAAUGAUAUAGGGAAGUUUACAACACUUCAAUGGAUGAGGAGAUUCAAGCUAUUGAGAAGAAUGGCACAUGAGAGUUCACAACACUUUCGAAUUAGCAUAAAGCAAUUGGUAUGAAAUGGGGUUUAUAAAGGAAAGAAGAAUGAGAAAGAUAAAGUAAAAAGAUAUAAAGCAAGACCAGUUGCCAAAUGAUACAUGCAAAAAGAGCCAGAAUUAACUACAAAGAGCUAUUUGCUCAUGUUCUUAGAUUGGAAACUAUUAGAUUAAUUAUUGCUCUGGCUGCUUAAAGAAAAUGGAAUUUUUUUCAAAUGGAUAUCAAAUAUGCAUUUUUAAAUGGUCAUCUUAAAGAAGAAGUUUAUAUUGAGCAACCACCGGGUUAUAUUAUAAAGGGGCAUCAAGAUCAAGUUUAUAAAUUGAAAAAGAAACUUUAUGGAUUGAAACAAGCUCCUAGAGCUUGGAAUACAAGAAUCGACAAAUAUUUUCAUGAAAAUGGUUUUUAUAAGUGCCCCUUUGAUUAUGCUCUAUAUCUUAAAAUGAAUGACAAUGGUGAUCCAUUGAUAGUUUGUUUAUAUCUUGAUGAUUUAAUUAUCACCGGUUAUAACCUUAGCAUGAUUGAUGAUUUUAAGCAAUCCAUUAUUACUGAAUUCUAGAUGAUUGAUAUUGGGCUUAUGAAUUACUUUCUUGGAAUUCAAGUUAAACAAUGUGACGAAGGGAUUUUUAUUUGCUAAAAUAGAUAUGCAAAGGAAAUUCUCAAAAAUUUUAAAAUGAAAAAUUACAAUUCGCUAACUACCCCAGUAGAAUGCAAGUUGAAUAGAAGAUAUGAUGAUUCCAGAGAGGAUGCCACUUAUCUUAAAAGCUUGGUUGGAAGUUUGCAUUAUCUACCUUGUACGCGACCCGAUAGUUUAUAUGGAGUGGACUUAACAAGUCGGUAUGUGGAAGAUCCUAAUAAAACACACUUGAAGGCAGCCAAAAUGAUUCUUCGCUAUCUAAAAGGCACACUGGAUUAUGGACUGUUCUAUUCUCAUUCAAAUGAAAUCAAGAUUGUUGGUUAUUAUGAUAGUGACUGGGGAGGUGACCUAUAUGAUAAAAAAAGUACUACAGGUUAUGUAUUUCAUAUUGGAUCUAUAGCUUUUACUUUGUGUUCAACCAAUUGUUGCAUUAUCCACAUGUGAAGCUGAAUAUGUUGCAGCAUCUUCAUGAGUAUGUCAUGCUAUUUGGCUACGAAAUGUGCUAAAAAAUUUACAGAUACCACAAGAAAGCCCUACAACGAUCAAAGUCGACAACAAAUCAGCAAUAGCACUAGCCAAGAAUCCAAUAUUUUAUGGGAGGAGCAAAAACAUAGAUAUAAUAUUUUAUUCCAUUCGAGAAUAUGUGAAGAAUAAUGAAGUUGAGCUAGUGUUUUGCAGAUCAGAAGAACUAUUAGCAGACAUUUUGACAAAGGCACUAAAGACUUAAACAUUUUGUCACCUAAGAAUACUACUUGGAAUGAGAGUGUGUGACAAAUUAAGGGGGAUGUUAAAAUAUUAAUUUGUCCUCCACCGCCAAAUCCCAUUUCUAUAUCAAGAUAUCUCUCAUUGACUUUUCUUGUUCCACACUAUUUCGCAGUCUCCAACCGCAUCUCCACCAAAACACGUAUUAGAAUACUAGUCAAUAGCGGUUAGAACCUUGUGGACCAUCAAGAGAAGAUUCUCAAGAAAUGUAUGCGGUUAUUAUAGGCGGUUAAAAGCCUAUAUAAAAGCAAUGAUAUGCAUGGGUAUUAUGAAUGAGAGAGAAAUAAGGGAUCACAGAAGCGAUAUGCAAAAAAGGUAUGCAAAACCUCAAAAAUGAGUGUAUAGUCCUAAAGACCAUAUUAUUUGAUUAUAUUUCUGUUUUGUUUACUAUUUUGAAUGUUAUUGUGGAAAUUUUGUUUAUUCAGUACAACUUCCUAUUUGUUCUUUUGUGUCGAAGCAUUUUUACUCUAUAUUUUGGAACUUUUGUCGCAACAAAUUUCUAUCGAUGCAAUGUGUUAUUUUUGUAUUGGCACUAUGCUGUGCUACCUGCUCAAGGUGUGCCAAAUUUAUUUUAAAGAAGUUGAUAUGAAUGUAGAAUUCAUCUAAACUAGAUAUAAUAUUUUAUUAUACAGUUUAAAGGGGCAUGUCUAUUACACACAAGGCUUUAGGCUUUAAUUGCACAAAAGAUGAAAAACUAAAGAUUUUUAUCUUGGUAUUACUAGAUUAUAAUGUAGGUUUGUUUGUAAUUAAUGUUUUAUUUUGAAAGUCAAACAAAUUUAUUUAUUAACUUUUUAAGAGAUUGUUCUAAUUAUAAGUUAUAACUAUAAAUAAUUUAGUAUAUAUAUAUAUAUAUAUAUAUAUAUAUAUAUAUAUAACAACUGUGAGAAACUGUAUUUCUGAAGGCCCGAAUAGAAGGUCCAAACUGAUGAGAGAGAAGUACCGCAAGAAGAACGAAAUACAACCUGGCGUCUCAGGUUUGAGUUGGUAUGAGGGAGAGAAGGGAGGGAGGAAAUGAAGAAGGAAAUAUUGUUCCCAAAGGUAAGUGUAAGUUUCUAUAUUUUCACGACUUACAACAAAAUAAAUUUAAAUUGACUAUACAUUCAAUAUUUUCCUUUAUCAGAGUUAGACUCAUCCAAAAAAUCUCAUUUAUCGUAAGAACUGGAUCACCAACUUGAUUUGGACACUCAUCAAAGAUUGGCGGUGACUUCUCAAAUGAGUUUUUAAACCCUCUAAUCGGAAUAGAGAAUCGGUGAUCAUGAUUAGUAAGAGGCCAGGAUCAAACCAGGUUCAAGAAAGUAUCGGUACUGGUUUUGCCCCUCUGCCUAAACCUUCCCUUCAUGCCUUUUGUUUUUUUAUUAAUUUUAUGUGAAAUACUACUUAGAGCAAUACAAUGUAUGUCAUUUUAUAGUGCUACUAUGUUGUACUACCCACUCAACUUGAUUGAAAUUAUUUUAAAGAAGUUAACAUGAAUGUAAAAUUUAUUUAAAUAGCAUAUAUUAUUUUACUUAUAAAGUUUGAAGGGGUAUAUGUUUUGAAUUACCUAGAGUCGAAAAAAUAGAAUUCGUUAUUCAGGUACAGUCAUAAUAUAUUAUUGGUUUGUCUUUAUUUAAAGCCCAUACCCAAAUUCUCAUCCCUAUAUCUAUCUCGUACCUUCUCGUUCACUCUCUCACCUUUUCUCUAUCUAAAAAAAGCAAACUCCAACUCUCUCUCAAAACCCAUGCUCUCUUUGCUUCCCCUCAAACCUUUAUUGGCUCUCUCUCUCUAAAUCCAUUCCAGGAGGUAGAAUUAUUUUUUUUACAAAUACUAGUAUACUCUCAAAAGGAUUUAUUAGUGACUUAAAUCUCUCUCGCUCUCGAUAAACAACAUGCAUGUGCGUGCAUACGCACGUAUCCGUCUAUGUAGUUGAAACUUAAUUAAUAAAAAUAUUAGUCAUAUAAAAUCAAAUUAGAUCUCAUUUUACACAAAGAAAAUUCUAUUUUGAUAGGGGAUGAAAAUCAAUAUAGUCAAUUUUAUACAGUUAGUAAGAUGACAAAUAAAGUUGGUGAAAGCUUCGUUGUUAUUGGAAGAUUAUGACUUAUCAUAUAUGGGUUCGAACUUUUAUGUUAAUUAGGGGAUUUAUAGGAAUUCCUUUCACUCUUCAAGCUAUAUCAUAUCAGGUCUUUGUGAUCAAAUCAUUUCACAAAUCAUAUGGUUUUAAGGCAUAAUACUUUUUAUUCUUAAUUUUGGGGCUUACCUCCUAAUUUGAUAACCUAAGGUGAUAAAUAGAUAAUUGAACAUGUGCAUGAUUCUAUUUAUUCCCUUUCAUUAAAAAUAGUUGUAAAUUAAAAUAUAAUUGAUUAAAUCACACUUUAGAUUUGAAUAAAUUGUUUUUUUGUUACUAAAAGUUAUCUUAAAAACUUUAAUAUUAAGUUUAUAGCAUAAAUAAAUUAAAACUUUGAGCUCUAUUUUUUAGUUAAAGUGUAAAUUAUAAUGUUUGUAAAUUUUAAUGUUGCUUACCUUAUAUGUGAAAAUUUGAAUUUUAAAUAAAUUUGAUAAAUUAUUUAUACCUAUUUAUUAAGUUGGGACAAAACUCAGAAGAUAAUGAUGACUAUUUACUCCUAUUAUCUAAAUUAAAAAUUGAGGGAUCUAUUGUAGAAGUAUCAUUUGCUUAUUCUAAAAAUAUAAUAAUGGAUUUUGAGUAAUAAAUUAUAUUUUUAUUAAUAGAAAAUUAUAAAUUCUAAUUUAUAUUGAGUUUUAAGUAAGAUUUUAAAUUUUAAAGUAUAAUACAAACAAUAAAAUGUUUUAAUUUUAUUCUAUCAUGUAAUUUCAUAUUAUUUAAAUAUUUUAAUUAUUGUAUGAAAUUAACGAUAAAAUUAAAAAAAAAUUAAAAUGUCCACUUUAAAUAAAGGAAACCAAAUAUAGGGAUGACUUUGUCUUUUUAAUAAAAGUAUUGGUUAUUUCAUAAAAAAGGAUAAUUUUCUAGUACAUAGGCAUUUAUUGUGCAUUUAGUGUUAAGUACUCUCUUAACAUCAAACUUUUUUUAUGUGAGCUAAAAAAAAAAAAAUUGUAUAGUGCUCCUUAGGAACAAGUUGAAUAUUUGAUCUAUGAAGAAAUAUACCUACUCUAUACUAUUUUAUCUAUCUAAAAUUUAGUUAUCUACAUUUAAAUGAGUACUUUAAAAGGAAAAAGAAUUUAAAUUUAAAUUUUUAGUAGAAUUAGUGGUGAGAGAUCAUAUAUCAAAGGAGCCAUGGGUAGCAAUGGACCCAACCAAACCCAAGACUCAACGGUAGACUCGACCUCGGGUCCAGGUAUGGGUCCAAAUUUUGGAACCAAAUACUAUUCGAGUCUAGCUGGACCUAACCCGUACCCGUUAUCAUAGGGUAUGUGAUGUGAAUCAUGUGUCUUUAGGCACAUGUUAAGUGUUCAUAUUUUCACAAUAUUGGCAGCAUUUACAAUAUUAUUGGCAAAAGAAAGAAGCUCAUAGUCAUUGGAUAUAUGAUUGUAAAAAAAAGGGAAAAAAAAAAAACUCAGUGUCAUAGAGUGGCAGUGGAUCCAACCAGACCAGACACUUGACAAGUAGACCCGGGGCCUGACGGAUCCGAGUAUGGGUUCAAAUUUUGUACUUGAACACUAUUCGGGUCUAAAUCAAGGUCCAGCCAUACCUGACUCGUUGCCAACCCUAAAAGGGACAUAGUAUCAAUUGUAGUAUCUUCCGCCAUUAAAAGUAUUAAGUUUAUUAUUUUGUCUGUGAUUUUGAAAAGAUAGAAGGUAAGGCCAGUUUUCUGUUUCUAUUAACAAAGUAUGAUCCCUAACCAAGGCAUUCAAGCCCACAAUAGGGUUCCUGUUAUGUUAACUUUAAAAAACAUUGACAGUAGAAUAGUCAAGCAUACUUUAAAUUAACCUUCAAUACAUAACAUGUUUUCUUAAAUUUCUUCUUGUGUGUUCUUUGCCUGAAGUUUGUGUCUUCUUUUUGGCGUUUUGGGCAUAUACAUUCCUUAUCAGUAUUGUAUUUGAUUUUGAGAUAUGGCUUUUCACAAGAUUUUCUUAGCAAGUGUUAGUUCUUUUCCAUUUCUUUGACAACUCAACUUGGUUGCACAAUCUUUCUAAAGCAUGAAGAACAUAUUGGUACAAUUCACCAAAACUAGUGUUUUGUAUUGCAAGCCCUUGAUUUUCCAUUGUUUUUGUGGCUUCUUUGCCUAAAGUUGGUGGCACUGAUUCAAGAUAAAACUGUAUUAAAUUGACAUCAUCAAUUCCGCCAAUCUUAUGAUAUCUCUUGUUCAUUUCAGAAAAAUGUUUCUCCAGAUCUUGUCUUUUGAAAGAACAACAUUUUAACUGAAAAAAAUUCUUCUCUUGCAACAAUUUGUUCAUGCUUUAUUGGGCCAGUAAAUUCAAAGACUAUGUAGUUAAGGAACUCGAGUAUAGACUCACUAUUUCUAAAGAUUGAUUUCUCUUGGGUCAGAUAAGUUCUUUAGAAAGGAACUUACAUGAUGGGAUUUUCUGAAGGCAUUGGUAUUUGUAUGGGAAUGGAAGAGGCUACAACAUCAGAAACAAUGACAUUAGACUCUGUGUCAAAAUUUUGAAUCAUUUGUGUUUCAUGCUUAGGUUGUGGAGGCUGUGUAACGGCUGGUGUUGAGGUUGUUUGUGGACUAGGUAUAGGUUGGGAAGAUGAAGCUGGUGUAUUUGGGUUUUGACGUUUUCUUAGCUGAGGAAACAACAAAUGUUCAGAGAAUUGUCUCUCUUGUUCAAAUGUUCUGAGGGGUCUAAAACCAUAAUUCCUAGGAAGAAUUAAACCUGUUGAAGGGUAGAGGGUUAUAGUCGGAGGGAAUGGGUCUGGAUUUCUUAAGGUGGGAUACGUUUGGGUAUUUGGCAUUGGUAAAAAAGGCUGGUAUUGUGUCUUUUACUUGGUUUUGAUGUUCUUCACCAGAUGAAACUUCAAUGGACUUCCAAAGGACUACACUACAAAACCCUGACCUUACCUUGGAUUGCUUCCAUAGAUCAGACACACAGUUUAGAAAUAAUUAGACAAUAAAAUUUGAGAGACUGUUGUGCUAAUUCCCAUACCGAGUUUCUCAAAAAAUGUACAAAUCCUCUUUGGAGAAACCAUAAUUUUUAUGUCAAAUUACCCUUCAAGAAGAAUAAAGAUAUAAAUCCCACAAAAGCUUCACACAGAGGUUUGAAUCCAUAACUAUUAGAACAUGCUAAACUGGAAAUUCAAGAUUUGAUAAAGGAAAAGCUGAUUGAACCUACAAGUUUUCCUUGGGCUUGCGAAGCAUUUUAUGUCAAUAAAAGAGCGGAAUAUCAUCAAUAGAAUAUUAUCGAUAUUUAUUAUAUCUAACUUAAGGUUCGGAGGCUCCCAAGUUGUUAUCAUAUUUCUCAAUUGACUUGUGUUCACGAACCUACUCAUGUUUUAUAUAUAACUAGAUGUUAUAUGUGCCAGAUUGGUCAAUGUCACAACUAUAAAAAACAUGAAGAUGUUAAAAUUGAAAAUAAUUACAAAAGCACAUGUCAUGGGUAGAUGCAACUUAUGCAGCAACUGAUAAACUUGAAUAUGGCCACACAAUUUUUAAAAUUUUGGCACCAUGAAAUUUUGGGAUUGGCAAGAAAUGAACGCAAACAUAUAGUAAAGCACCAUAUAGAAACAAAUUAAAGUCAGAUGGAUGUAAAAAAUUCAAAAUAAAUCAAUGCAAAUCUUACAAAAUAUGUACCAUAAAAUGUCAGUGUCACAAGAACCUUUAACAUAUACCACGUUAGAACUUGAGAUAUAAAAAACAGAGAUAUUAAAAUUAAAAAAAAAAAGAUUGAAUACACAUAUACAUGUUAUGGGUAGGUGCAACUUAUGUAGCAACUCAUAGAUUGAAUACAAUCAUGCAAUUUUCAGAAUUUUGGCAUCACGAAGAUUUGGGAUUGGCAAGAAAUGAGCACAAAUCUCUAGAAAAACAUAUUGUAAAAGCAAAUUAACAUCAGAUAGAUGUCAAAAACUCAAAAUAAAUCAACACAAAUAUUACAUGAUAUGUUCUAGAAAUGUCAGUGUCACAUGAGCCUUUAACAUAGACUAUAUUAUAAAUUGAAUACAAAAAUGCUAAAAUGCAAAAUAAAUUGAAUACAAAAACAAACAGUAUGGAUAAAUGCAGCUUAUGCAACAACUCAUAAAUUUAAUACAUACAAAUUUUAGAUUUUUGGCAUCUCAAAAGUUUGGGAUUGGCAAAAAGUGAAUACAAACCUAUAGAACAACAUAAUGUAAAAACAAAUUAAAGUCAGAUAGAUGUCAAAAACUAAAAAUAAAUCAACAUAAAUCUUACAUGAUAUGUGCCAAAAAUUUCAAUGUCACAUGAACCCUUAACAUAGACUACAUUAUAACUUUAGAUAUAAAAAACAUAUAGAUGUUAAAAUGCAAAAUAAAUUGAAUACAUAAACACAUGUUAUGGAUAAAUACAACUUAUGCAGCUGCUCAUAUAUUGAGAAUACAAUCACACUAUUGUUAUACACCUCAUGCAUAAAAAUAGAUUGAGAAUAUAAUCACACAUGUUAUGAACAAAUUGGGAAUACAAUCACAUAUGUUAUGGAUAAAUGCAUUGAGAAUAUAAUCACACAUGUUAUGGAUAAAUGCAGCUUAUGCGGCAGCUCAUACAUUGGGAAUACAAUCACACAUAUUAUGGAUAAAUGCAGUUUAUACAUUGACAAUACAAUCACACAAUGAGAAUACAAUCACACAUGUUAUGGAUAAAUGCAGCUCAUACAUUGAGAAUACAAUCACAAAUGUUAUGGAUAAAUACAACUUAUGUAGCUGCUCCUACAUUGAGAAUACAACAGUUGCAAUUGUCAAAAAAUUAAUACAAACCUAUGGAAUAACAUACCGUAAAAAAAAUUAAAGUCGGAUAGAUGUCAAAACCUCAAAAUAGAUCAACACAAGAAAUGUCAACGUCACAUGAACCUUUAACAUGGACUACAUUAUAACUUCGGAUAUAAAAAAACAUAAAGAUGUUAAAACGUAACAUAAAUUGAAUAUAAAGACAUGUUAGGGGUAAUUGCAACUUAUGCAACAACUCAUAAAUUGAAUACAAUCACACAAUGUUUAGUUUUUUGGCAAUAUAAAUGUUUGAGAUAGGCAAGAAAUUAACACAAACCUAUAGAAUAACAUACUGUAAAAACAAAUUAAAGUCAAAUAGAUGUCAAAAACUCAAAAUAAAUCAACAUAAACAUACAUCCAUAAUUCCAUACUAAACCCUUAACCAAUUCAUUACUAUAGUCCAAGCAAUCAGAUCCAGGUUGUAGUGAAAAAAAUGUCAUUGUAAACUGUAAAAAUAGGAUACCGGUUUUAAGAACAGGCUAAUAAAACCCAAAUUGUAGGUAAAAAAAUACAUAAAAAAGAGGAAAGACCAACAAAAAAUGGGCAAAAACAACAGAAGAAAAUGCACAACUAAAAACCCCAAUAAAUUAGUCAAUCUCUUCUAUUGAAGAAGAGAGAGAGAGAGAGAGAUAGUACCUUGUUGAGGCAAGUGUUGGCAAGAGGCAGUUGCAGAAGAGAGGCACACGAAUGCAGGAGGGAGAUGCGGCUACAGUUUACAAGGCAAUGAGAAAUCAAAAUGUUUUUUUUUGCUCCUAAAUAGGAAUGCUAGAUCGGCCGAGUUUCGGUGUCCAAAAAUUUUCAAAAAAUAUUAAAAACCCUAAAAAUAUUGGGAAUGGUGCAUUAUGUAAUGUCAUUAUUUCACAAAAAUAUGUGAAUAUUGAGGCGCCACUUCCAGUCUAGAUGUUUGUUGACUAUUACAUUCAUAUUACUAAAAAAAAACUUAUAAUAAUGGUGGGUAUCAAUACAUGGUCGAAAUAUAGUGCAACAGUUGAAAUACAACCUAAUAUCAAAUUGAAGGACAUCAUUCUUCCUCUUCAUACCGUAAAUUGAUCACUUUACAAAAAUAUGCUGCACAUUUUGUGAAUGAUAUCCAGUACACAAUAGACAUUUGAGAGGGGCAAAUGUUGCAUUAUCUUUAAGUAACACAAGGGCUAAUAUUGACCAUAGUGAAGAGCCAUAAAUGUACCUUGAACAACACGAGAGAGAAAGUUAGGAUGGGACAUAUUCAAAGAGAGAGAGAGAGAGAAAAUCCAAUUCAAGAGAGAGUGAAAAAAUAGAAAAAAAAAGAAAAAAACAAUCCAAUAUUCAAGAGAAGGAAUCCAAAAGUGAAUAUGGAAAAAGAAAGCUCACUCUAAAGAGAGAGAAGAAUAAAAGAAAAACUCAAUUCAAUACUCAAGAGAAAGGGAGAGAGAAUUUCACAUACUUAGGAAUUGGGCUUGGGUCAAGGCGGUAGUAGCUGAGUUUCCAUAGUACCACGUCUCAAGUUUCGUUCCUAUAUAACCUUAUCAAAAAAGGAAGAAGAGAAUUUCCCAAACCCAAUCCAUUAUUCAAUUGGAGCUAAGGAAUUUGUUAUAAAUUAACAAGAAACUAAAUCACAAUAGAUUAACCAAGAGAAUUUAAAAUUAUUCCAAACGCUGAUCUUAUUGUUGUCUCUACAAUAAAAAAACAUAGAUCUUUAUAUCUUCCAUUUAAAGGCCCGACAUAAUUGCUUUGCAACGGGAAAGCAUUGCAAGAGAGAAAGGAGAGGGGGAGAGAAAUCCUAUAUGAACCUCGUAUAUCACAAAGAUUUUCGAUAUUAAAACUACAUUUUUCGAUACUAUUUAAUGGUGUGCCUUACUUUGAUUAUUUCGGGCCUCAACCUUAUACAAACCACACCUUUUCCUUAAAAUUUUUUAAAGACCUCAAAUAAUAAAAAAAACUGAAAACCAGGUAAUCACUGGAUCACCUAGUUCAUUGAGAUAGUUUUGUUUGCGAAUUAGCCAGUUUAUGAGGAAAACCAACCAGUUCUUGAGAUUAUUGGGGUUUUGAAUAAGCUCAACUGCUUCCUGAUAUGGAUAGGUUAGCUUUGAUCCGAAUCACUGAUUUUUUAAACAAUGUAUAGAAUAGAUAAGCAUCUAAGAAUUAAAAAUAAAGGUAUUAUAUAUUGUAUAUAUUAAAGAUGGUAACAAGAGUCUUGAGGCAGAUGUCAUGAAUAGGAUGGCAUGUGGGUAUUGCUCUCUUCUCAUAUUAUAGGAUAAUCAUAAACACUUGUAGAUGUAGAUAGUUCAGGAUUGGUAAGACUAGAAGGGUGUGGUUGGCAUACGGAUGUAUCUGUAGCUGUAGAGGUCAGGUGCACCUCCAAAUUUUAUCACGGUAUAUAAUUUUGAUGUAAAAUGUUUUUAGGAUUAUCUAAAAAUCUAUUUUUAUAUCUAAUUAUCAAAUUUUAAAUUUCACAAAUGGUUAAAAUCAAGUAGAUCUAUAAAUAUAUGAAAACCUUGAAAAUGGACAGUGUAGAUAAUAUGUUGUAAAAUACAUUAUUUCUGAUACUUAAAAUCUUUUUAUUUUUCGUGGUCAUACAUCUCAAUGUCGAGAUGAUCAAUCAAAGGGUUUUUCAACAUUAAAACUAUUAUUUCUGAUGGAUUUUUGAGUUGCAUAUGUCGUUCUACAUUAUAAGGUUUGCAUCCUUAUAUAAACUUUUUCCAUAAUAGGAUAGCAUGUGGGUACCACUCUCUUCCCAUAUAUAGGAAAAUCUUUAACACUUGUACCUAAAGAUAGUCUAGUGUUGGUAAUAAUAUGGAAAUCAUUGGAUUGUCAUUCACACUUGUAAUCAUAGACUAUCUAGGGUCGGUAUGACAUGAUCCAUUUGAUCAUCAUAACCUUAUGACUAAGCAUCUAGAAUUAUAGCCAUUGUAGGAAUGAACUCUCGACAUAGGUAGUCAGGAUAGUGGGUGCCACAAUAUGAAGUCUUAAGUUCCAUUACAAUCAUGGAUACGGCCUGCGGCAGAUGGCUACAGCCAGCUAGACAAUUUGCUAAAAAACAGAUGGAAGAGUAUGUCGGGCAAAGAAAGGUGUUCCGUGGUCCGAACUCAUUUAUCCCAUAAUCAAUAUGCGAUUUUAAAGAGCUUUAAGGCCCAUUGAUCACGUUUUCGAUUAACAUGUCGCAAACACUCAGUCAUAUAUAUAUAAUCUAGGGCUUGUAUAAUAUGAUCCAUAUGGUUAUCAUAACCUCAUCACCGCAAGGUUGUCACAAUCCCCUCGUGAGGUUAUCACUGUCCAUUGUUUUGGAUUGAUGGAGAUAAGGGGUUACCACUUACAAUUCACUUCUGACAUAUUGAUUUUUUUUUGGGUAAGUACUUCUUGACCCAUUGAUUGAAGAAAAAAGUUUAUAUAAAGUUGCAACCUUAACAUGUAGAAUUAAAGAUGCACCUCAAAAAUCCAUCGAAAAAUGUUGUCUUAAUGUUGAAAAACCCUCCAAUUGAUUAUCUUGAAAACAUGAUGUAUGAAUAUUAUAAAAAACAAAAAAAGAUUUUGAGUCUCAUAAAUGUUGCAUCUUGGAACACAUUAUCUAGACCAUUUAUUUUUAGUGUUUUUAUAUAUUUAUAGAUCUACUUGAUUUUAACCAUUUAUAGAGUUUAAAAUUUUAUAAUUAGAUAUGAAAAUAAAUUGAUUUUAACCAUUUAUAGAGUUUAAAAUUGUAUUAUUAAAUAUGAAAAUAAAUUUUGAGAUGAUCCUAAAAACCUUUUACACCAAGUUUAUAUAUUAUGAUAAAAAUUUGGAGGUACGUCUUGAUUGGAAUCGGAUUGUUUAAAGUUUGGAACCUUAUAGAAACCAAACCCUUGAAACAGGCAAGAACCACUGACCACGGUGAAAUGGGAACUACAUAGUUAUUGUGACCCCACUAAUCUCUAUCUUAUGUGGCAAAAUAUCUGAUCUGUCUCUGUAAUUUGGCAGCUUCAUCUCUGAACAACAUUUGUCAAGGACCUCUCUCUCUAACAAGAAAGAGAAUGCUGCCAAUUAAUCAUUUGGGCUUUACGGGUUUCCCAUAAGCUACCGCUCAGCCAACUCAAAACCCUAGACAUAAGCUAUCCUCACCGUAGUUGUGUUUUCUAGGGUUAAUUCCUGCAAAAAACAGCUUGUGACCAAUUUAAAGCCAUGGUUUCUCCUUUCAAUGUUCCUUACUGACUCUAUGUUCUCUAGGGAUUCCAACCUGCAUGAUACAGCUCAAAAUCUGAGUUCCAAGCCAUUGAACCCUGUGUUGCUGAGAUUCCUAGGGUUUUGGGAAGAUCGCAUAGACCCCAUGUAUCUCUCAGAUAAGCAGAGGCAAAGGGAAUUCUACAAAGAUGAACCCAGAACCAUUAUAAUGGCUCCUGUAACAAAUGGUUUUAGGGCACCAACAAUGCAGCAACAGCAGCAACAACAGCAACAACAAAUGGUGCUUGCAGAGAGUAGUGGUGAAGACCACGAAGCAAAGGCCCAAAAGAAGAGGGCUGAGACAUGGGCCCAAGAUGAGAUUCUGGCUUUGAUCGCUCUGAGAAAAGAGAUGGAUGGGCACUUCAAUACCUCAAAGUCCAACAAGCAUCUGUGGGAGCAAAUCUCGUUGAAGAUGCGGGAGAAAGGGUUUGAUAGAUCCCCAAAUAUGUGCACCGAUAAGUGGAGGAAUUUAUUGAAAGAGUACAAGAAGGCCAAACACCAGGAUAGAGGGGGAGGGUCUGCUAAGGUUUCAUAUUACAAGGAAUUGGAUGAUUUGGUGAGAGAGAGGGACAAGAUUGUGACAUACAAGAGCCCUCAGGCAAAAGUGGAGUCAUACAUGCAGUAUUCUGAUAAAGGUAUGCUCUUGAUUUUACUGAAACUUGUUUUUUCUUAGGUAUGAAGUUUCUAAAAGGCCUAGGCUUUGUGAAAACCAAAUAAAUCAUCACUUUAAAUACUCGUGAAAGCACUUUGGGCAAUGGAAAUCUAUAUGAUGGUUCUAAAAUCAAUUUGCAACACCGACAGUAAAAUUUGAAACUCAAAAAAAUGUACGCCGAUCUUUGAACACUUAUUUUUAGGGCGACAUGGACAGUCUAGAUAAUUUGUUAAAAUAUACAUAUCUUUAGAGCUUCAAAUCCAAAUUGUUUUUCACAACCAUAAUGUUCAAGCCGAGAUGAUCGAUGUAAAGGUUUUCCUAUGCUUGAAUUACAAUUUUCGAUGAGUUAUUAGGUAAGGCUUUACUUAUAUGAUAGGGCUGCAGCCCUAUAAUGUUCAAGUCGAGAUGAUCGAUGUAAAGGUUUUCCUAUGCUUGAAUUACAAUUUUCGAUGAGUUAUUAGGUAAGGCUUUACUUAUAUGAUAGGGCUGCAGCCCUAUCAAAUCGCCCUAUCAAAUCGAUUUCCUUUUCUUAGUCUUUUUUUUUUAAAGAAAGAAAAGAAACGACAGAAAGAGUUGGACUUCUUUGCAUUCUAGCUGGACUUCUGUGCAUUUUCUUGUGGUGAGUGGUGCUUAAAUUAUUCAUUCCUGUUUAGCUAAGCUGUUUGAUAUGCUAAGAUUCACAAUUUGCUAUUACGUAUUGUUUCUCUUAAUGUCGUGUCUUUUGCAAUGUAAAUUUUAGUAUGUUGAGUAACCGGUAUCAUAUAGUGUUUCUCUAGUGUUGAUAUCUUUUGCUUCUAUUGUAUGAUUUGCUAAUUGAUCUUAUCUCACACCAGGGUUGAGAGUGUACUGAAAGAAUUAAUUGGGUUUAUGUAGAAAGCUUGUCGAUAUGUUAUGGCAUUGACAUCCAAUACUUUAAGUUUUUAGUAAAUACAAUAGUUGCGGUUGUAGAUGUAUUUUGGUGUAUUCUAGGUCUGCUAAUUUAGUUUAUGGAAAAUUUUCUCUAUUUAUGUGGCCUUUUUUUUCCUCUAUGGGGAGCAAAAGGGACAAAAGUUUUGGUGCAAUCAAUUUGGAAAAGAACAAUAACAUGCUAUGCUUGGGAAUAAACUCUAGCAGUCCAGAAUGAUAAAGUAAUCAUUGAUCGUUUUCAUUCUUUUUUUCUCUUGUUGUUUCUCCAUUUAAUUGCAUGCCCAGCUGAGUAGUAAAGCAAUCUAUUAUUGAUGAUUAAUGAAUUCCAAGAAACUUAAUUUGAAAAAGAACAGUUUCAAAAGAAAAGAAAAAAGCAACCACAGCCAAGGUCCAAAAGACCCUUCCUUGAGGCUCAUAAGCUCGUGCCAUAAUUUCUCUCAAUAUAAUGUUUAGUUACUUGAAUCAUCACAUCUGACGUGCUUCUCUUCUGACAACCACCACCACCUUGUUACUUGAUGUGUAGUUUCACCUUCUUAGGUUCUAAAAUGCUCAACUGGCACUCGCUUUAAGAAUCGCAACAUGGCAAACUUGCCAAAAUUCUCUCUGGCAAAUGCUUUUCAAAACCAAUUCUCAUCAUUGAAAAGCGGUCCGUCCAGUGCCUAGGAAACCGGGUAGGCGGGCCUGGAUGCAUAACCUAGGCCUUGGAGGACCAACAAGGCGAGUUGUCCUUGGGUGCCCACCUAGGGACCCUAGGCACCUGCCUAGGCGGGUGCCCAGGGGUGCACCCGCUUACGUGCAACAGUACCCAUUGGGUGGGGUAUUUUUGGUAUUUUUUUUUGUUUGGAUUAUAAACAAUGCAUGAAUAUGCAUUUUUGCUACAAAAUCUAGACCUAAAAUAGGAUUACUGGACACCUCUUGUCCCCUUUCGAACUAACCUGGGCGGCCGCCUAGGCGAUGGGCAGCCUAGACCACCCCGGCCGCCUAGGCGGCGCCCGACGAUUUUUGGAACACUGGUUCUCAUUGUUAGUGUGGGGUGAUGCUCAUAGCAUGUUGUCCCCUACAAUGCUUUCUUUUUCUGUUUUCUACAGUGGCUUUCCUCUCUUAAAUGCUUUCUUUUUCUGUUUUCUACAGUGGCUUUCCUCUCUUAAAUGCUUUCUUAUUCUGUUUUCUACAGUGGUUUUCCUCUCUUAGCUGAAUUGGAGAGCUCUAAAUAUUUAUUUUAAACUACUAUAAGGAUCUCUGAUAAUAUUCUUCUUAUCAAAUUUUCUUGUUAUUUGAAUGUUUUGUUCCACAACUUGCAUAACCGCCUAAACAGAGAGUCAUGAAAGGAGACCCAAAAAUAACAUAUUGUAAACCCGCAUUUUUCCAUUAUCGAUGCUGACUAUGCACAAAUUUUUCUUUCCUUCUUCCCAAAGCCCUGUAUCAGGAACCAUGUAGCAGCAACUUUGAUUUUUUUCUUUUUCUACAACCCCUGCUACUCUUAACAUCAUGCACUGGUGAGCUAGGUUUGACAUCAUCACUAGCUAUUUCCCAGCUAAAUAUACACAUCUGCAACAUCCGUAAAUAUGAUUGUUUUUAAUACCCUAGAACGAUAUCUCUCUUUGUUCUUUCUUUGUUUUACAUCCUCAUAUGAGGUUGAUAUGUGUGGUUUUCUUUAGACCUUCAAUAAGAUUUUGACAAUAUGGGUGAUUCUUAUUUGUAACUUGCUGACUAGGUAAUGCUUACAAUUACUUGUGUUUAUGCUUUUCAUAUGCAGGCCUUGAUGAUGGUGCCAUCCCCUUUGGACCUGUAGAAGGUAGUUGUUGUUGACAAUUCCCUUGAUGUGUUCAACUCUACUGUAAAAUAUUUGCUGCUACCCAGUUUGAAAAAAAAAAAAAUUUGUUUACUUAGUCAAUAGCAAUGUUUGAAGAAUAUUAUAAUUAUUUUAGUUACUUAUUAUUUCUGAGGAGGCUUUCAUUUUUUGUUUUAUCGAGAUUCAUUUUCCUCAUGGGUUAAUACUGUUUUAGGUAUAUGCUGGGAUGAGAACAGGGGAGGUAGGGAAAAAAUGGUAGUUGUUACGGAUGUUUCCUACUGCCAGAAAGCAGAGCAUAAUUUCUAUAUUGUUAAAUAUGGAUUCUUUUUGAAGAAAUUGAUAGUGAAACUAAAGAAAAAGGUGCUAUUUAGAAAGUGGCCUUUCCCUAGAAAGCAUUCCUUCACUCUGUUAUAUUGGACAAGAAUAGAAUAUUAAAUGCUUUUAUUUGAGAACUGAGACAAGAGAUAGCUUGUCUUUAGUCAAGCUUGAUUUGAACAUGUUCUCCAAGAGUUCUUUUGUUCGUAGAUCUCCCUUUCUCUCUCUCUCUCUCNNNNNNNNNNNNNNNNNNNNUUACGUUACGUUACGUUACGUUACGUACGUUACGUACGUUACGUUACUACGUUCUACUUACGUACUCUACUCUCUACUCUCUCUCUCUCUCUCUCUCUCUCUCUCUCUCUCUCUCUCUCUCUCUCUCUCUCUCUCUCUCUCUCUCUCUCUCUCUCUCUCUCUCUCUCUCUCUCUCUCUCUCUCAAUAACUGUUUUAUUGAUGUAAAGAACGUGUACAAAAUUCUAUUCUUCCAAAUAACUGGGUGCAUAUUGUGAUCUUUCAUUGUGUUUGAUCCUAUUCUUCAUGCUUCUUUGUUUUUGCCGUGCACCCUGAACAGCUUUGGCAUUAAAUUAUCAUGGGAAAGCUUUCUAUGUUCCCCCUACAACAUAGAAGUUCUAUCCUCCCCCUACCAUUCAGCCGUCCCUUUUUUAAUCAAGAGAGUCACUUACCGUUUGAUCUUAGAUCUGACGUCUCAAAGUAUUUUAUUUUUAUUUUUUUUAAUACAAAUUUUCUGAAUAUGAAAUUUGGUACGUGCCAUCUUCUCAUUGGGGCGCACCUAUAAAAAAUAUUAACAAUAAUUUUUCAAUAAGAUAUAAUGACCAAAAUACCCCUUGAAACUUUCAAAUGUAUUUUAGUCAUUUUAUUUUAUUGAAAAUAUUUUUUUUAAUAUUUUUCGGUAGUGCGAGUUUAAUAGAGGAAUGGACGUCCAAAAUUUGGUGUCAAAAUAGUUUAUAGAGAAAAAUUAAAAAUAAAAUAGUAUAGAGAUGUGACAUUGUGAUUGGGGCAAUCUUAGCCCUCCAUUAAAAAAUGGACGGUUGAAUAAGGAGGAGGAUAGAACUUCUAUGUUGUAGGGGAACAUAGAAAGCUUUCCCAAUUAUCAUUUGAUGUGUUUCAUAAAGAAUUAUUGUUCCUGUAGUGGCCAUACUUAUUGGUUGCAUUACCUCUUUCUAUGAUAAGAAUUAAUGGUCAUUUGUCUUUCCUUUGUUGUGGUUACUUGCAAAAUGUUUAAUUGGUGCCAUUUUCUUGGAUGAAUAUGACUGCUACAUCUUUUUUUCCUAUACACACUCCAAUAGGUCCUUUGCUUUUUGGGUAAGUAAUCAAUGUAUUUUAAAGGACUGAAAUAUGAGUCAUGGUCAUGAUUUAUUAUAAGAUGGUCCUAUAUAGAGGAAAAGGACAAAAUAUCAAGUUCCUCUGAGAGGUAUAUGUAUGUACUAUUUGUGGGAACUUGACAAUGACAUACCACAAGUAUACUAAGUUAACAAAAAAAUCUGCUUUCCAUAGUAUAGGCCUCUUUCGACGUCUUAGUACUCAUAGCAAAGAAAUGGUCCUUGUUACGUUUAUCAGCGGUCAUCGCCAUAUCAUCUAGGGCUAUUUUCUUUAUUUUCUGGAAUUCAGAGGUCUUUGGUUUGUCUUAGGGGUAUUAUGCGGUGUUUUGGCAUAUGCUGUGUUUCAAAAGAAAGGUUCCCCCACGAAUUAUGGCUGGCUAGGUUGGGACCGAAUCAUUCUUAAAUGGGUGUUGAAGAAAGCAUAGCUAUUCUUAAUACAACAUGCACGCAAACUGGGCUUUAAGGUUCUAUACUGUAGAAUUUUUAGCUAGAUCGUAGAACAACCAAUAGUUGUUGGAGGCAGGAGCUGGGUCAGUUUGGGGAAUGCCAAACUGCCAUUGGAUGAAAGCUCCUUGGGGUAAGGAUCAACGUUCGUGCAUUCAACAAGUUAAGGAACUAGAUCCUAGGAUACCUGGUAGCGAGAUCCCAUGUCAAUAGGAUCGAGGUUUUGACUUAGAGGGAUCUAAGCGCCACUAUGCAUGAAAAGAGAUCAAUUAAUAGUAAAUAAUAAAAUUAGAAUCUAUCCAAUCCUUGCUGGAUCCAUUAUCAUGCACCUUAGCUUUAUUACCAAUGCCAUAGUUAUAGUAUUCCAAUUUACUGUAAUAAUACAGUUUAAUAAUAUACUAUGAUAUUUCUUAAUACCAUAAUUUUAGUAUGCACAAUGUGAUAUGCACCACAGUUUAACAUAUUCUAAAGAAAUAAAUAUAUAAUAUCAAGAAGAGGAGCAAUAGUUUAAUUAAUAGUAUUGCUUCUCUCUUUGGACGGAUUCUACAAGCAUGUAGACCGAGAUCCUAUUUUAUAGGGUUGGGAGCUAGAUUUCUAUUUCUCUAAACCCAAUUUUCUCUAAGAUCCGUUAGAGGAACUGCAGGAUAAAGUUCCUAAUGUGGGGCCGUUGCUUACCCACAAGGUUCCUGCAACUACGGAACAACCAUACGCAUACUGAUUAAUCUCUUCUAGUAGAUAUGAAAAUAAAUAAAUAUUUUUGAGCCUCAUGGAGACCCAAUAAGAACCUGGAAGCGAAGUUCUUCUAAUUUUCUUUGACCUCUUUCAUUCUUUCUAGAAGCUUGCAUAACAAUAUUGUAAAAAAAUGGUAGAAUCUCUACUUAUCAAAGGGAAAAGACAAAAUGGAACUGUAUCUUUGGGUAUCUUUCUUUGUGAACCUUGCCAUUAACAUAAAAUUUUAAUAGGUUUCUUUUCCUGAAGCCCUAGGUUUCCUAUCAUAGAGGUGUCCUCUUCUCGGAAUAUUUAAUUGCAUACCCAAAGUAAGUUCUCAUUUUCCUUCUAGGUUUUGUCAUGGAAAACCUAAUUGAUGGCCAACUUCUAAAAGUAUAUUUUUAAAAUAUUUUGUCCCAAAAAUGAAAAUAAUAUAAAAUGUUACUUUAGGGGCCAUCCAUUUUAGCUUUACUUAUUUAAAACAUCAACAUUUCAAGUCUCUUUUAGUUCUGCUGAGGGCGGAGACUGAAAAGCCUUCCUAAGACGAAUUGAAAAAGGAAAAUGUUCCAAAAUCUUUCCAAAAGUACUUGUAGGGAUUGUUCUUUAUAUUUCCUAAUGUAUCCUUGCCCUUUUAGGAAUCUUUUACUGAAACGAACUCCUCAGGUUUUGCAAAAAGGACUAAAUUUGAUAAUUUAUCCGUACAUAUUUAUUUGGUUACAACUUUGAUAAACUUGUUCCUAAAUUUCUAACCCACUACUCUUUCUAAAAGUCCAUUGGCUGCUUCACUGACACUACACAUUCCGACACACUUGCAACUUAGUAACUGACGCAGGUAACAGGACCAUAGUUACAUGGAUCUUCCAUCUAUGGUGGUGCUUCCACUCUCAAAACAUGGUAUGGAAGUGAGAAUGCAUUUCCUUUCUCUUAGAAAUGUGCCCCUCCUUUCCUCGGUAACUCUUCCCACAUAUCUUGGCAAGGAAGAGCCCUCCUCUUCUUUGGCAGGCUCCAUGGUGGAACCUAUAAAAUGCGUCAUUGCCUCAUAUGGUAAUUUGGGAUGUAAAGAAUGGCUAAUUUUUGUAUUAGACCAAGUUGGGAAAAAAUUCAAGCAUCAAAAUACCUUAAGUAUUUUUUAGUUUAUUUUAUUUUUUUAAAUAUUUAUUUAUCUUUCAUAUAUAUUGUAUAUCACUCCCAUGGCACGCCCUAGCCAGGGAGCUUCUGGCAAGCAACGAUCCCAUACACUGCAUCCCACUUUUGAUCCUAGUAACCUGCUCUCAACAGAAAUGAAUUUGACUAUAAACAUAUGUAUGCACCUCACACUCUAGCAACUCAUUAUGAAACUAAAAUGGGUGGUUCCACUCAGCCUUUGGAUAAAAUACAAUGAAAUUUUCUACACCAUUUGGACAGUCCUGCUUUAAUCUCCACACUACCGUUGCCAGUAAAAUUGAAGGGUUCUCAUGGGAAUGAAUGAGAUGCUAAAAUUGCUUGAAAUCUUCUAAGAUCAUUAGAUAAAUUGGUUAAAAGGCAGAUAAAGUAGUGUGAUAGGGAUAGUUAUCAUGGAGGUCUGUAUUAUUAAUUUAUUAUUUAUUGCUGUUGGUAUUGUUAUUAUUAUUUAUAUUAUUAUAAAUAGUUGUUGUUGAUGUUGUUUUUGUUAUUAUUAUUAUUGUUGCUGUUGUUGCCAUUGUUGUUGUUAUUGAUAUAUAACUUUUAUCAAAGAAGUAAUGUGCAUUCAAAAUGGGAAGGUCCUUAAUUGCUGUAAAAUAUGAUUUCUUACGUUCUUGUUUCCUAAGGCUGCAUUUGAAAAGCUUCCGGAGUCCGUUCUGGGCUGUAAUGCUUGAGAUGUUGGUUGGCAGUCAAUGCUCGAUUUCAGAUGUUUGGAUGCACAGUUUCAUUCAUGCCAUAACACACAUUGAUGCUAAUAACUCGUGUUUCGCAUUAUAUUUGUGAAGGGGUUGGGACCCCUUUUUUCAACUGUCGAACAUGCAAGAAAGGGACUACAUGCAUAAGUCGUUACAUGUGCCAAACAAAUGCGGACCUGUCGACCUUGAGUUUGGUUCUCUAUUUUCAUAGUGUCACACGCUAGUGAAAAAUGUGUGCAAAAGCAUUAUUGAGCUCUGUGGUAUUCUCUCUACAUUACUGCAGCCUCCUCAUGACAUUCUUCCGGCAUCUUCAUUAUGAGGAGUUUGUGAUUACAUAAAGUGUUGUAGAGUCGUCUUUGACCCCAGUUUGGUUGUGUUAGCAAAACCUCUCCAAGUUAUAUCCCUUGAGAUAUCCGACAUUUCCAAUUUCUCCAGCCCUAAUGGCUGCUUAUUCUUUACUUCUAACUUGGGUUGAAUCCUUUCCUAUUGUAACUAACCUAUGAGUGUCACUCCCCAACCCCUUGAUCCUUCAUCGCUUGAUCCAGAAUUUGCCUCUUUGUUAUUGAGCAUCCUUGUUUUCCAUAUCCGACUAGGGCUAGACUCCAUGUCUCUUUCUACUCCCAAAUAUAUGGCAAUCAGAGUACCAAGUUAGGAUCAUAGUUAACAGAUAUUCCGCGGUCGCUUCCACUCUGGAAGAAUGAUACUGUGUUCCAAGACACAGGAUCUCAAUUCCAAGCAUUUCCUUGAUUUAGGGAUCUUGAUCAAGGAAAUUGAUGAACUAGAUCCUAGGUUGAUGUGAUCCAGAUCUCUAUUCCCAAAAUAUGGUUCUAUGAGUAAUUGGAAUCGUGAUUCCUCAAACUUGGAAUCAAGUAUCUUCUACUUUGGGAGUGAGUUUCACAUGCAUAGUUUCGGGUUCAUAUAAAAUGGGACGUGGAUCUCUAAUUUUUUAUGACCUACAAACUUUCUAAAGGCCAUGAUUUCCUAUAUAGUUUAUAAUUUACAACCUUACACCUUGUGAAUGGUGAGUAGUGUAGGAAAAUCGAACCAAAACGGUUAACCAGACAUGGAGCCAGAAGCGGUUGGCCUAACUGGGCUAGUCUCGGGUGGUCAAAAAAAAAUUAAAAAAUACAAAAAAAACUAAUGAAAUAUAAAAAAUAUAUUUAAAGCAUGAUUACACAAAACACAUAAAAAAAAAGUUGGAAAUUAAUGAAAAAAAUGGAUUUUAAAGAAUCGAUUUGUGCUUAGGGUAUUUUUGAAAUUUUCUAAAAAAGAUGGGAAAAUGUAAAACUAAGUAUUAAUGGGCAAAACAAUUUCCAAUGGCAAUCUUUGUCAAAAUGACAAAAAAACAUUAAAAAAUGCAUUACAAAUAAAAUCCCUUAUUUUUUGGGAUUUUAUAUAAUAUUUUUUUAUUUUUUAAAAAAAUACUCGGCCAAUUCACCAAAACCAGCCAAAACCAGAACCAGCCAGUGGCCAGUUUCGAUCUAACCGGGUGAUUAGAAUUUGAAACGCCCAAUUUUCCCUACACUGAUCGUGACUUGUGACUAGUUUCAAAGAAAAGCAACAAGAGAGGGCAAGGAGAGAGAAGGAAGAGAUAGAAAAGAUAAUUGAGUUGCGUUUUUAAUCUAGGAAUUGAGGUCACAAUCAAUAACCUUAUCCUCCCUGGGUUUGGUUCAUUGGGUCUUGUCCACCUCUAGAAGGACUUCUACUACAUGAGUGUUGGUCACCCAAAUUGAGCCACUCAUAGGGUUGCCUCAUAGGUGAUGAAAUAACAUAUAUGCUUGAAAAUGUGAGGUCUCUCUCGUUUAUAUCUUCUUGAGCCCCUAGCAAUCUUUGGUGGAGAAGAGCUAUUGAGAAAUAUAUAUGGCAAUUCCUUUUUAUGUAUUUUGGAGUAGUAGUAUUGCACUACCCUAAGUGUGUAGCGAGGAUCAAUACAACUUCUAUAGCCAAUAUGAUACAACAGAUCUUCCAAUACUAGUCAUAUUUAUCUUUUAUUUUGAUUGUCAUGGAACUGAUAUGCUCAUUAGAGCUCAUGCUCCAUUUCAUUAAAGACCCAAGGAUUCUAUAUACCUCAGGAAAAUAAAAAUUAGCAAUUGGAUAUUUAGUCCCUAAAAAUGUAUGUAUAACGUCAUAGAAAAGUUUCAGACAACUACAUUUCUUUUUUCGCUUCCUCAUUUAACAUCAGAUGUUACCAAGUUUGACAAUGAUUCACCUUGAGCAAAACGAUGGAAUGCGUCCUUUAAUUCAAGGCAACCUCUAGCAUUUUAUAUGUCAAGUUCCAUUGAGUUGAAACAUCAAGACAUGUUUUCUUACUUUCAAUUCUGAGUAGGUUAAUUGUCUCAUUAAAACUUCCUUGCCUAGCUUGUGAGGCCUUAGUACAUUUUAUCCUAAUUUGGAUUUUAUAAACCACAAUAUUUAUUAUUUGUAAACCAUCUUGCACAAUUAAGGUCCAAAAUGUGAGAGCAACAUCGCACAUGAUACAUCUUACCUUCAAAAGUAAGAUGAAUUCUGAAUAGUUGAGGGUUGAUGCAACGUCAUUAUUUAUUGCAUUGUCUAAAGUAAUAGUAAACAAUUUUUAAUCAACCUUCCAAUGCAUUAAGAGAUCCAAAACUUAUGGAGGGCAAAAUUAUUUUUAUUUUUAUUUUUUAUUCAAUUUCGAAGGAUGUAUAUUAUGUUUUAGUUUUAGGCUUUAUAUCCAAGGCUUUUUAGUUUUUUUAAGGAUUCUAAGGUUUAAGUUUUUAUUUACAUGUACUAUUAACAAUUAUUGUUGACGAGACUGCUCACAAGGGUAAAUUGUUGACGAGACUGCUCACAAGGGUAAAUUUAAGUUAAGUUAGGAUAUCUGGGUCAAUGUAUUAUUUGUUUGGAUACUUUUUGUACUUGAAACAUUAGAUUAUAAUAUAUGAGGUGUGUGGGGCCUUGAGGCGAUUAUUCCAUAAUCCGCAUGAUUUCUAGAAAUUGAAAAAGAAAGAAAAGCUUAGGCUUGUGCAACCCUAGCUCAGGUGUAGAGAAGAUUAUUGUGCUUGUGUUUGGCUUGUUCCUUGUUGAUUUUAUUGCUUCCUUAUAUUUUCUUGCAUCAAAAACCAAUUAUAGCAGCAUCAUCUCUUGUAUGAGGAGAUGAUAUAUAUACAAAACUAAGUAUUCAAUUUUGGAAGUGCCUUGCUUCAUCAAUAUAACGUGCAGCUAAGCACAAAUGCCGUUGAUUACAACAUGAUGACCAUAUUCAAUGGUGAGGCUCCCACGGCUCAAAAUUUCGAGCUUGGAAUUUUCUGUAACUCCCCUUGUGUUAUCUUUUGCAUGUUGUAAAUUUCGAUAAUAUCUGAUUUUAUUGUACCACGGGAAACUAUCUUAAAUAAUAGUUGAAGGUUACUUGCAGAAGUUCUAGAGCAUUUGUGUUCCACAUUCGAGAAAGGGUACUCAUAUAAGAUGAUCAUUUUUGCAAGAUCAUUCCUACUCUCUCGAACAAAUUGAAAAUUCACUAAACCCCCUUCCCCUUUCUUCAAUGAUGCUACUAAUAGAUUUUGGCCCGAAGCGACAUGUACUUGCUUUACACAUCUUUCUAAAUCAUCAUUAUCACUAGAGCCUUUGCUCACUAAUUUGGGGUCGACUAUACGAACCUUGGUCUCCCAUUCUGCUCUAUCAAGAACUAUACUCUUAGUGAGGCCAUAGGUCCCCAUAUCUCUUCGCAUUACUUCCAACUAUAUUCUUUUGGGCCCAUCCCUUACCCUUUUUGAGCCUUCCACUUGAAUCAACUCACAUCUCGUAACAGGCAUUGUACUGGGUCUACGUUGCACAUGGCCGGCCUACCUAAGUUUACUCUCUCAUCUUAUCACCUAUUGGAGCUACACUUAAGUUCUCCCUAUUGUAUUUAUUUUAAAUUCAAUCCUUUCUUGUCUUGCCUUAUCCAUCUCAAUAUCCUCAUUUCAGCUACACUCAUCUUAUGGGUAUGUUGUUUCUUGACCGCCCAACAUUCCGCCCCAUAAAACAAAGUUGGUCACGCAACUAUCCUAUAGAACUUCCCCUCCAGCCUCAUUGGUAUGCGGCGAUCACAUAAAACUUGGUUGCACAUCUCUACUUCCCCCCACCUAGCUCUAAUUCUAUGUGUGAUAUCUUCCUCAAUCUCUGUAUUUUCCUAGAUUAUCGACCCCAGAUAAUGAAAGUGCACAAUUUUUGGUACUUUUUGGCCGUCAGUCUUAACUAUUUCCUCAUCUUUGCUCCUAUUAUUACUAAACUUAAAUUCCAUAUACUCUAUCUUAGUUCGGCUAAUUUUAAAACCUUUAGAUUCUAGAGCAUCUUGCCAAAGUUCUAACUUUGUGUUGGGGCCGCUUUGUCUUAUCGAUCAAAAUUAUGUUGUCUGCAAACAACAUACACCACACCACUGUACCUCAUCUUGUUGGUGCCUAGUUAAGUUGACCAUAACGAAGACAGAGGUAUGGGCUCAUUGCUGAUCCCUAAUUUAUACCUAUUGCCAUUGAAAAUUCAUUUGUCUCUCUACUAGUUAUCCAUACACUAGUUAGUGCUCCCUCAUACAUAUCUCUCACCAAGUCGAUAUAGUAUCUACCUAUCUUGAGACUCCUUUCUUUUCCAACACCCACCCAAUUGAUUCUUGAGGCAUUCUAUUAUAUGCUUUCUCUAGAUCAAUAAAGACCAUGUGGAGGUCUUUCCUUUCGCCUUAAACUUCUCAAUAAGUUGCCUAAGGAAGAAAAUAGCCUCAAUUAUUGGCCUCCUUGACAUAAAACCAAAUUGGUUUUUUGAUACACUCAUUUCAUGCUUUAAUCGUUGCUCAAUCACUCUCUGUUAUAGCUUUAUAGUGUGGCUCAUAAUUUUGAUCCCUCGAUAGUUCACACAAUUCUUUAUGUCUCCUUUGUUCUCUUGUAAAUAGGUACCACAAUGCUUUUCCUCCAUUCGUCUUGCAUUUUUUUUAUCCUCAACACAUCUUUCUAAAUGUUUCUUCAAAUGACUCGUCCCUUCUACACUAGAUCCUUAAUUGCUUAGUACAAUGCCUACAACUUGCUGUCAUGCUACCAUCUUCAUUUUUAAUCUUAUUAAAUUCAUCUCAAAUCGACAAAGUGGCUUUUUGUUUGGAGGACAGCGAAUGAUUUCUCCACACUAGUACUUUGAUCAUGCAAAAGAAUUCCAAAUUUGAUAUGUUAAGAGAGUUUUCAAUAGAGCAGAUAAAAUAUUUUCCUUAGAUAAAAGAAUCCCUAUACAUGAAUUUGUAGUCUAAUUUGUCGAGAUGUUAAUGCGUCAAGCAAUUGCUAGUAGUGGAUGUAUCCAGUCAUGAUAAAACCAGAGAAUCAUAGUUACUAAUAGCAACACCAGUAUCAUAUACAUAUGGAAACAAAUUUAAUCUAUAAACUAGAUAUUCAUGGUCAUUAACAGUAACACCAGUAUCAUAUACAUAUGGAAACCAAUGUAAUAAAGAAACUUUGUAAUGGCGGCACCCAAUAACAUCUAGGGUUUACAAAAAAUAAAAUAAAAUAAAAAUGGAGAAAAAUGAUAUUAGGAGAGAGGGAUUCGCUAUGGUUAAGGGCUUCCAACUUGUAGUCAUGGAGCUGCAGGAUGCACCUUAUCACUUGAGUCACCUUGGAAUAAACAGGACACUUAGUAGAAAGAAAGGGGAGAUCGAGAGAGUUCACCUUAGCACUUGAGUCACCUCUUUUGAUGUCCUGAGGGCUUCCAACUUGUAGUCACUGAGCUGCAGGAUGCACUUGGCGAGCAGGGAAGCCUCUUACUGGUUAGAGGUCUGCCAGGGUUCCUGGUUUCUUUCUGUCUUAGAGAGACAGAGGCAUUUGAAGCUUGAUGGGUUAAGGUAAAAUUUUCAGAUGUUAUAAUCAAGUUAUAAAAGGUUAGAUUUCUAAAUUUAAUUCAAUUAAGUCAUUUUAUUUCAUCUUGAAAUUGAUUGAUAUAUUAAAUUUAAUUAGCUAAUUUAGGGGGAGGUUUUUUAAUUUUUUUGGGACAAUUAAGUUACAUUAGUUUAUUAAUUUUUAUAAAAUUUUUAUAAAAUUUUUUCUUUAAUAUGUUAACUCUAUCAAGCUAAAAGUAAGUACAAGGGGAGAAUUUUAAGGGGGCCUGGAUACCCACAUACAGGUUCCACCCAAAAAAUUGACUACCCACAGACAGGUGCCCCAUACAAAAUGCACAGAUAGGCCAAAAAAAUGCUUUACAUAUCUGAUUUGAAACCAUAAAAGAGAUCAAAGCCAUACUGAGAUAGGCAGACCAAGCAAACACAGUUCCCUAUGAGUUAAUUAGAUUGGCUGGAGAUAAGAUAGUGGCUGCCUUAACUAAGGAAUUCGUGUCACCAUUUGCUUCUCCAAAUGUGUCUCCACAUAAUUUAUGGGGUCCUACUGUGAUGGCAAAUUUCCUCAAAAUAUGCUGUCGAGCCUCCAAGGCCAAGGGGCUGAGCUUGAGGCCCAGGAUAUCACUCAGAAAGAAUCACCUUCAAUGGUUGGAGACUGACCCCAAGCGAGGUUGAAUUUUCUGAGUACACUGUGCUGUACACUGUCCUAUAUAAUGUAUUAUAUAGUCGAAGCCCAAAAUGCCAAAUACUUAUAAUAUAGCAUCCAAACUCCACAGACCAAAUAGUCAUGAUACACUUAUCCAAGUUUUAUCAAAUCUUCCGAUUAAACACAAAAUUUUUAAUUAAAUUCACCUUGGAACCAUGAAAAAGUUGGUUCUACGCAGGCCCCAACCCCAACCCCCCCCUUCUUUCAGGGGGAAAAGACAAAAUGCCCCUCUUGUGGGUAUUUGUAUGCCCACUUAUGUGGGCACAUAAUUACUGACGAUGCACCACAUCUAUGCAGUGUGCUCAAGGGCAUAACCAUUUUGAUGCUGCUGUCUCAACAACUUGGUUGACCCUUGCACCCCCUAAGGUGCAAGCAUUGAAGUAGUUGGUCGUCUCAAAGAAAGCCCUAACUUAGGCCACUUUCAGAGAAGAUGAAUCCUCCUCUCCAAUAGAUUCCCAAUGUGCAAAUAGCAAAAAGAAAAACAUCAACCACUCUUCAUCCAUUGAGAGAGAACCACACAACUAGGGUCUUUCAUCCUUAGGAAUAUCACCUGGAAUUGGGUCACCUUGGAAUCCAUCUACCAACUUCUCUCUUCCGAUUUCUCUCCCCCAUUUCGUGCCUUGGGCCCAUUGCUGUGGUGUGCAACAAUACUUGCACACCUGUGGACUAUUUGGCUGGAAAGAAACAGGAGAGUUGUGGUGAGGAGCCACACAAAUUCCAAAUAAGAGUGCCUUACAUCCACCAGUAAAUUUUGGGUGCAGGCGAGGUAAGAAUUCUGCUUGUUCCCCUUGGCCUUCCUUGCACAUCAGUGGGAACACACUCUUCAGUCAGCCACACAAACCUGCAUGCAAUCAUCAAAAUGGCACACCCCUGCCCCCCCCCACCCCCAAAAAAAAAAAAACAAAAAACCAAAAAAAAAAGAUCCAAAUGUCAUCAAAAUUAACUUUUGAUGGCAGCUCCUUCAACAACUCAAGGCCACCAACCAUAGGUGGUAUUUUCAGGAGCCACCUAGGGAAGCACUCUCAACCUGCUUAGGUAUGGCUUGAGUCAUGGAUUCUACCUUUGCCGAAGCCUCUCCUUGUUAAUGAGGCUCAAAGUGUUUGAUAGAAGUUGGGGCCUGCACUCCUCAUUGAAGGAGACUCCAAAAUGUUAUAAAUUAGGUCAACAGAACUAGCCCCCAACCCUGUAUAUUGAAUCACAUUUUUGUACCAGAUUUUCAAUAUAUGCAACUCCUUAACAUGUCAACUUAACUCAGGAGAGAAUCCAAUGCCCAAGCCAACUCCUUGGCCAAAGAAGGGGUCAGCAGAACCAAACCAUUCAUUCAUGAAAUGGCCUCCUGAGGUGGAAUGCUGGUGGCAAUUUUGUACAAACCCCACUCCCAUACCAUAACCUAACAAUUAGGUACUUUUGAGAGCUUCAAAAGUUCUCCCUCUUUGCCCAAUUAUGAACGCAAACAGUUAAUUCACCAAAAUAAUAGACAUCAAGAAUUCAUGAAAAAUUGGAAUCAGAUGAACCCAUACUUCAUAUUUUCAACAGUAUAACAAUUUUUGAAGUAUUCUUGGCAUUUUUUGAAGUAUUCUUGGCAUGCUCUAUCUUAGAAUAACUGUCUGUUU